UACGAGUGGUCCAAGCGUUAGUCGGAAUCACUGGGCUUAAAGGGUGCGUAGGCUGGCCUGUAAGUGUCUUGUGAAAUCCCCGGGCUCAACCCGGGAAUUGCAGGGCAUACUGCGGGCCUGGAGGAACCUAGAGGCCGGCGGAACGAUAGGUGGAGCGGUGGAAUGCGUAGAUAUCUAUCGGAACGCCAAAGGUGAAGACAGCCGGCUGGGGGUUUCCUGACGCUGAGGCACGAAAGCGUGGGGAUCAAACAGG
Molecule: ribosomal RNA, 253 nt
Filed under: uncultured bacterium
Lineage: Bacteria
Description: partial 16S ribosomal RNA
Rfam family: Bacterial small subunit ribosomal RNA
Source: RNAcentral